Molecule: long non-coding RNA, 1482 nt
Filed under: Canis lupus dingo (dingo)
Lineage: Eukaryota; Metazoa; Chordata; Mammalia; Carnivora; Canidae
Description: lncRNA (ENSCAFG00020007091.1)
Source: RNAcentral
AUGCAGGCCUGUGUUACUGAGCGCACGCUGGAAAUGUGCCCACAUUUGAAGAUGAACAAAACAAAAGAAGAAGAAGAAGAAGAAGAAGAAGAAGAAGAAGAAGAAGAAGAAGAAGAAGAAGAAGAAGAAAGAAGAAGAAGAAAAAGAAGAAGAAGAAGAAGAAGAAGAAGAAGAAGAAGAAGAAGAAGAAGAAGAAGAAGAAGAAGAAGAAGAAGAAGAAGAAGAAAAAGAAAGAAAGAAAGAAAGAAAGAAAGAAAGAAAGAAAGAAAGAAAGAAAGAAAGAAAGAAAGAAAGAAAGAAAAGAGAUUCCUGUCUGUGUCUGUGCCUGGCUUCUUGAGAAUUAGCCCCAGACCCUGGACCCCACAGACUGCAGUUUGUGGCGACUUUGAUGGGCAGCCUCAGAAGCACAGGAGGGAGGCCUGGGGAAAUGUGUUCUUGCCUUUGGAGCAUCUGGUGGAGAAGCAUCAAGCCCGGCCCUCGGGGCAGCCACGGGCCGUGGAGGGGAUGGGGCGGGGCGGGGGUCCUGGUAGGGCAGGGAGGGGGGCCUGGGCAGGAGCCCCCAGGGGAGGCAAUCCUCUGCACCUCUCAGCCCCUCAGAGGAAGGGUCCCAGCCCCAGGCACCCCCCACCCGAGGCAGCACACAGGGCAGGACUGACUGCCCCACUCCCAGAGUUUCUACCCUACAGGGGAGCGUGGGGCCCAAGGUCCUGUAGGUCUAACCAGUUCCUGAGGCCAGUGUGGCCGUCUAGGGCCGAAGCUUGGGUCUCACCUGUGAGCCUACCCCGCGGCUCCCCAGCCACCCAGAGAAAGGCCAUAGUCACUCGGGCAGUUGUUUGGGGAGUGGGGGAGUGGGAAUUCUGGGGCCUCCUGCCCCCCAACCUGCUCUUUGCCUGCAUGGGGUGCGUGGAAAGCCCAGCUGCUCCACCAGGUGCAGGACUAGGGCCCCAGCUUCUCAGACUGUGUCCUCCCUCAGCCUCAGAGCCGCACCCCCACACACACAACCACACAUGCACACCACACGCACAUGCACACUGCUUCCCCAACCUCUCGCUCACUCCACCCCCAGCCUGCCUCCCUCGGGCUGCAUGGCUUUUCCCUCUUAGAAGGUUCAUGCAUUUGGGGAGGAGGGAAGUAUGGGUUUCGGUGGGGGUGUGUGUAUACACUGACGUGGUCGCAGCCUGGUGGGCAACCACCCCAAGUCCCCAGCAUGACACCCUGCACAUAAUCCUAGCAAAGGUCAAUAUUGCAGGCAAGGUCACACUUGUCCCCUCAAGAGUAGUGUGUCCCCCAGACACACAGAGAGGAAACCCCACAUCUCCCCCUGGCAUGCCUGCCAAAAGAUGCCCCUGGUGGACAAAGCAGUCCCUGGAGGCCAGUGGCCUUGACUCCGGGACAUGGGGCAGACACUUCAGGCCUCACCUGCCGCACCUUCCCAGGACCACCGUGUCCCCUACGCAGAGAAACAGACUCCAUUUGUUCUGA